UGGGGUGGGGUGGUGCCACACCCUAUCACCCAGGAGUAUCUGCAGACAAGGCUGUUUCAUGUUCUUCUGGGCAGUCGCCUAGGAAAGCCUGUCCGUGUCCCCUGGCUCCUGCGUCCUUGUGUGUGAGAACAUCUGUUUUCCUUGCCUUGCUUGGCCUUAAUCUCUCAUUUGAAGGCAGCUGAUGGAGAAGGAAAUGGUGACAUCCCUCCCCUCUUGAUCAUUUCUUUGCUUUCAAUAAUGAGUCAUCAGGGCUGUGUGUGCUGAGGAUUGACGAGUUUCAGUGACGGCAGUAAAGCCCAAAGGCCUGGUGUGUCUCCUGGAGUAUGUGGAGUUCUGGACUGGAACGCUGGGUUUAGAAAAGAAUGGUUUCCAGAGACCCCGAAACUCACAGGCUGUCAUUGACAACGCAUCUUUCCCCCAGUCACCCAGCACAGCAGAAGCCAGGACCCGGGAGAGACCACCUCCAAAUCUGCAGUUUGAGCAGUAAGGCAGAGGGCAAUACUCCAAGGCCCUCUAUAUACCAGCCGGGGUUCCAGCAGGCUCUAUACGGAUUCUACCGCGUCACCUCAAGAGAGGUGCUCGGUUGCUCCGUGAAAGAUGAGGUCUGUGCGUGUCUGGUGGCAGGGACAGGAAGGGUCAUCAUAGUCCCAUCGCUGUAGCCCAGUCUUGUCUUGUGGGUUUGCAGUUAGUGAUACUCUGGCACCUGCGCAAUAAUCAGAGACUCCCCCCAUCUCGGACUGUCCUGCACCCGCCGCAAGGGGGCGCACAUCUAGGAGAGCGGCACCUGGCAACCCAGUUCUAACCCUACUCAGGACCAACACAGGGCCAUUCUCUAAGCCACAGUGGUUGGGCAGUGGUAUCUGGGUCCUCAGGCAUGGAGUUGUGGUCGCCUUUGCGCAACAACUGACUGUCUCCCUGCCUUAGGUGGUCCCAGUCUCCAAGUCCUUGUUAGAGCGGAACCUGUCCAUUCCUCCCUGCUCCCUUUACAGGAAAGGCUGGCUCCUAGAGAAAGGGAAAAUACAGAGAGGAACUCUGGGGCUGAGUUGAAGCCGAAGGAAGCAGCCGCCCUAGCGUUCAGAGACCAGAGGGACUGGGAUCACAGUUACAGAGCUGGAGAAACUUUGUAGCCAACCCUAGGUUGGUCCUUCUCAGGACACCUUGCACAAGCCCGGGGCCCACUGGUGAACAGUGGGGCUCACCAUGCUAGGGCACUGCAUGAUCCUAACACUAAGGAAAAUGUAAAGAAUGCUGAAAGUGAGCCAAGCUCAUCUAUACCCAACGGCCUGUAAGACACUGAUUCUGCCUUGUGUGAUAACCACGCACUAGUCAUCCCAGGCACCCCGACCCACUAGAGCUGCACGAUGUUAUCCACCCACCCCAGAUACCCCUGGCCUAGCACCCACACAGGCGGAGGCGAGGGCUCUGCUUCUCUGCUAGCAGAGACCUGGCAGGAAAAUCAGCACAGCAGAUGGGUAUCACAGAUUCCCAGAAACCUCUGCCCUUUGAUACUUCUAGAGACUCAAGAAUCCGGGCUGAUCUCACCCCCAGCACUUCCUGAGCGAAGUUCACGGCCUUUGAGGGGAACAUGAGGGAGUAUGGCAGGAGUGAAGUCAGUGUGAAUGCCUUUGUACAACUUCAUUGAUCAUUCUGUGAAGUCCUGGCUGGGGCCAGAAAACGACAGCAACAUCCGCGAGAGGAGCUGGCUUUUAUUGAAUGAAUUAACGUUCAUUAUGCGCUAGACACUGUCCUAACAAUUUGCUUUGCUUAUCUCUUGAAAUAAUCCCAAAUGCUACUGCAUUAUUAUCAUUCCCAUUUAGAGGAAGAGAAAAAAGAGGCAAAGAAGGUAGGUGACUUGCCCAAGGUCACACAGUAAAGCUAUGAGUGUGAUGGGGGAAAUUUGAUUAGGUAUGAUUACAAAUAGAAAAAUUCACUUCGUACUGUACAGUUUUGAAAAUGGGUUGUGUAAUUAUCUUCACUCUGAUAAAGAACACUUUGAUCAUGCUGCCAUCCAGAAACUUACCGGCCACUGCUACUGUCUGCUUCCUAGACACAAGGGCUGUAUUUUACAUACAACAAAAUGAGGUCAGGGGAGAUUGAGAUGUUGACCCAGGUCGUUCAGUAAGAGACAAAUAUAUGAUCUUGAUCACAUGUGCCUUCUA
Molecule: long non-coding RNA, 2159 nt
Organism: Peromyscus californicus insignis
Lineage: Eukaryota; Metazoa; Chordata; Mammalia; Rodentia; Cricetidae
Exons: 2
Source: RefSeq, a predicted model, not a curated record